RNAcentral lists this ribosomal RNA (774 nucleotides) under uncultured Neocallimastigales. RNAcentral's name for it is "partial large subunit ribosomal RNA". It matches the Rfam family "Eukaryotic large subunit ribosomal RNA", at positions 22 to 639 of the family's 3401-position model. Lineage: Eukaryota; Fungi; Neocallimastigomycota; Neocallimastigomycetes; Neocallimastigales. The record is from RNAcentral.
UACACGCUGUGACUAGCAUAUCAAUAAGCGGAGGAAAAGAAGCUAACAAGGAUUCCCCUAGUAACGGCGAGUGAAGCGGGAAGAGCUCAAAUUUGAAAUCUUAAAGGGUUUCCCUUUACGAACUGUAGUUUAAAGAAGUGUUUUCUGUUGAGGUUUUGGUAAAAGUUCUUUGGAAUAGGACAUCAUAGAGGGUGAGAAUCCCGUAUUUGACCUUUACUUUCAACUUUGUGAUACACUUUCAAAGAGUCGGAUUGUUUGGGAAUGCAGUCCAAAAUGGGUGGUAAAUUUCAUCUAAAGCUAAAUAUUGGCGAGAGACCGAUAGCGAACAAGUACCGUGAGGGAAAGAUGAAAAGAACUUUGAAAAGAGAGUUAAACAGUACGUGAAAAUUGUCAAAAGGGAAGCGUUUGACACCAGUGUUGUUUUUCUGAAAAUCAAUUAAAGAACUGUUUAUGCUAAGUUGUUUAGACUUUAUCAGCUAUCUGUUUAGUUUUGAGCUUUUCUUUAAUGCACUUUUCAGUUAACAAGUCAACAUCAAUUUCUUUUGCUGUAAAAAAGCUUGAGGAAGGUGGCUUGAGAUUCGUCUUAAGUGUUUAUAGCCUCUUGCCUAUGCAGUCGGAGAGAUUGAGGUCUGCAGCGUAGAUCCUUCGGGGCUAAAUGCAUUUGUGCUAAGUUAUAACAUUUUAUGGACAACUUGUUGACUAUGAUUUGUCUUGUAGCUUACUCGCUUAUGUUAUUUUACCUACGCUUAGGAUGUUGACGCGCGUGUGUGCGUG